RNAcentral lists this ribosomal RNA (253 nucleotides) under uncultured bacterium. RNAcentral describes it as "partial 16S ribosomal RNA". It matches the Rfam family "Bacterial small subunit ribosomal RNA", at positions 524 to 776 of the family's 1533-position model. The record is from RNAcentral.
UACGGAGGGGGCUAGCGUUGUUCGGAAUUACUGGGCGUAAAGCGCACGUAGGCGGCUUUGUAAGUCAGAGGUGAAGGCCCGGGGCUCAACUCCGGAAUUGCCUUUGAGACUGCAUCGCUUGAAUCCGGGAGAGGUGAGUGGAAUUCCGAGUGUAGAGGUGAAAUUCGUAGAUAUUCGGAAGAACACCAGUGGCGAAGGCGGCUCACUGGACCGGUAUUGACGCUGAGGUGCGAAAGCGUGGGGAGCAAACAGG